CUACGGGGGGCAGCAGUGGGGAAUAUUGCACAAUGGGCGCAAGCCUGAUGCAGCCAUGCCGCGUGUGUGAAGAAGGCCUUCGGGUUGUAAAGCACUUUCAGUUGGGAGGAAAGGUUAGUCGCUAAUAUCGGCUAUCUGUGACGUUACCAACAGAAGAAGCACCGGCUAACUCCGUGCCAGCAGCCGCGGUAAUACGGAGGGUGCGAGCGUUAAUCGGAAUUACUGGGCGUAAAGCGUACGCAGGCGGUUUGUUAAGCUAGAUGUGAAAGCCCCGGGCUCAACCUGGGAACUGCAUUUAGAACUGGCAAACUAGAGUGUGAUAGAGGGUGGUAGAAUUUCAGGUGUAGCGGUGAAAUGCGUAGAGAUCUGAAGGAAUACCGAUGGCGAAGGCAGCCACCUGGGUCAACACUGACGCUCAUGUACGAAAGCGUGGGGAGCAAACAGGAUUAGAUACCCGAGUAGUC
RNAcentral lists this ribosomal RNA (464 nucleotides) under uncultured bacterium. Its description in RNAcentral is "partial 16S ribosomal RNA". It matches the Rfam family "Bacterial small subunit ribosomal RNA", at positions 339 to 795 of the family's 1533-position model. The record is from RNAcentral.